RNAcentral lists this microRNA precursor (63 nucleotides) under Eisenia fetida (common brandling worm). RNAcentral describes it as "Efe-Mir-193-P2e-v1_pre stem-loop". The record is from RNAcentral. Lineage: Eukaryota; Metazoa; Annelida; Clitellata; Crassiclitellata; Lumbricidae.
CGGGGUUUCGCUGAGCAUUUUCGUCGACAUUUCUGAACCGAUAAUGCCCUUUGAAAUCCUGAA